GAUGAACGCUGGCGGCGUGCUUAACACAUGCAAGUCGAACGGAAAGGCCCAAGCUUGCUUGGGUGCUCGAGUGGCGAACGGGUGAGUAACACGUGGGUGAUCUGCCCUGCACUUUGGGAUAAGCCUGGGAAACUGGGUCUAAUACCGGAUAGGACCAUCGUUUAGUGUCGGUGGUGGAAAGUUUUUCGGUGUGGGAUGAGCUCGCGGCCUAUCAGCUUGUUGGUGGGGUAAUGGCCUACCAAGGCGUCGACGGGUAGCCGGCCUGAGAGGGUGUACGGCCACUUUGGGACGGAGAGAGGGCCCAGACCCCUACGGGGGGAGGAGGGGGGGAUGUUUGAAAAAGGGGCGAAGGCCGGAGGCGGCGCCGCCGGGGGGGGGAGGGGGGCCUUGGGGUUGAAACCUCUUUUCGCAAAGGAGGAGGCGUUUUGGGAGGGUGGUGGGAAAAGAACCCCCGCCAAACUACGUG
This 466-nucleotide ribosomal RNA is filed under the name uncultured bacterium. RNAcentral's name for it is "partial 16S ribosomal RNA". It matches the Rfam family "Bacterial small subunit ribosomal RNA", at positions 28 to 507 of the family's 1533-position model. The record is from RNAcentral.